Molecule: ribosomal RNA, 810 nt
Filed under: Diaporthe passifloricola
Lineage: Eukaryota; Fungi; Ascomycota; Sordariomycetes; Diaporthales; Diaporthaceae
Description: eukaryotic LSU rRNA
Rfam family: Eukaryotic large subunit ribosomal RNA
Source: RNAcentral
UGCCCUAGUAACGGCGAGUGAAGCGGCAACAGCUCAAAUUUGAAAUCUGGCUUCGGCCCGAGUUGUAAUUUGCAGAGGAUGUUUCUGGCGCGGUGCCUUCCGAGUUCCCUGGAACGGGACGCCACAGAGGGUGAGAGCCCCGUAUGGUCGGACACCAAGCCUGUGUGAAACUCCUUCAACGAGUCGAGUAGUUUGGGAAUGCUGCUCUAAAUGGGAGGUAAAUCUCUUCUAAAGCUAAAUACCGGCCAGAGACCGAUAGCGCACAAGUAGAGUGAUCGAAAGAUGAAAAGCACCUUGAAAAGGGGGUUAAAUAGUACGUGAAAUUGUUGAAAGGGAAGCACUUAUGACCAGACUUGGGCCGGGCGGCUCAUCAGGGGUUCUCCCCUGUGCACUCCGCCCGGCACAGGCCAGCAUCGGUUUUCGCGGGGGGAUAAGACCGACGGGAACGUAGCACCCUCCGGGGUGUGUUAUAGCCCGGCGGACGAUACCCUCGCGGGGACCGAGGUCCGCGCUCCGCAAGGAUGCUGGCGUAAUGGUCAUCAGUGACCCGUCUUGAAACACGGACCAAGGAGUCGUCCAUUAGAGCGAGCGUUUGGGUGUAAAACCCGCACGCGUAAUGAAAGUGAACGCAGGUGAGAGCUUCGGCGCAUCAUCGACCGAUCCUGAUGUUCUCGGAAGGAUUUGAGUAAGAGUUUUAACGGACGGACCCGAAAGACAGUGAACUAUGCUUGUAUAGGGUGAAGCCAGAGGAAACUCUGGUGGAGGCUCGCAGCGGUUCUGACGUGCAAAUCGAUCGUCAAAUAUGAGCAU